RNAcentral lists this long non-coding RNA (1120 nucleotides) under Homo sapiens (human). RNAcentral describes it as "HSALNT0376563". The record is from RNAcentral. Lineage: Eukaryota; Metazoa; Chordata; Mammalia; Primates; Hominidae.
GCUCACUCAAGAACCCAGCCCCCAUAGUGUGAGGAGGCCUAGGACAGUUACAGAAGCCAUGUGUAGGUGUUCUGGCUCCAGCAAAAGUCUUAUCUGACAACAUCAACUACAUGUUAGUGGCCUUUCCUUGAAAUUGCUGGAGCUUGUGCAUCAUCAAAAUAAUGGCAUAAACCAAGGAAGAAGAAAACAAAAUUGAGGAAAUGGGAUCCAACACAAAAGAGAGACAACAGGAUUAAUUGAGUGUUGGUGAAAAGCCACAGCCUGUAAAUAAUGCAGUUCGAACUGAAAUAGACCAGGAGGCUCAAGGAGAGACUUCUUCAAGAAGAUAAAAUUGAUAGAAUGCCUAAGGAGUUUGAGUGCAUUGAGAAUAGAUUCAUAUCAGUUCUGGAGAACUGGGUGGAUACAUUAAUGUAUAACCUCAUCCUGGAGCAGGGCACCCUAUCGUCAGAUGGUAUCAUCUUUAAGGGGUUGUCUCAGCCAUGCCUUUAGAAUUACCUUUCAUUGCUUGUCAUGCUGGAAGCUUCUGAAUGUUGCAUUUUGUGAUAGAAACAGUGGGUACCAUGGUCAUGUGCUCACAUCUCCUUUGCGGUAAAGAAAAGGAUCACUCAUUAACAUCCACCAGAUAACAUUCUCCAUGAAAGCACCAAAUAAGGUUUGUCUUGGUCCAUUUUAUGCUGCUAUAACAGAACACCACAGACUGAGAAAUUUAUAAGGAAUAGAAGUUUAUUUGCCUCAUGUUUCUGGAGGCUGGGAAUUCCAAGAUCAAGGGGCUGCAUAGAUUGAGGUCCUUUUUGCUGACUCAUAACGUGGAAAGAGAGUGCACUGCAUAGAAGAAAGGAGGCCAAACUCAUUCUUUUAUCAUGAGCCUACUCCUGAAAUAACUCACUCUCAAGAUAAUGGCAUUAAUCCAUUCAUGAAGGCAGAAUACUCAUGAUGUAAUCACCUCUUAAAAGACUAACCAGAAUUGGCUACAGUUUCUUCAAGAAAAUACCCCAAUGGAAGAAAAAAAGGUGGAGGGAGAAACUGAAUGAAGAAAGGAUGAUUUGAAAUUACCAGAAAGUGGAACGUGGAAAAAACAGAGUAAAACUAGUUUGAGAAUAAAAUCUUAGGUUGUAACAUC